CCUACGGGAGGCUGCAGUGAGGAAUAUUGGUCAAUGGGCUUACGCCUGAACCAGCCAAGUCGCGUGAGGGAAGAAUGCCCUAUGGGUUGUAAACCUCUUUUGUCAGGGAGCAACGCCGGCUACGUGUAGCCGGACUGAGAGUACCUGAAGAAAAAGCAUCGGCUAACUCCGUGCCAGCAGCCGCGGUAAUACGGAGGAUGCGAGCGUUAUCCGGUGUAGUUGGUGUUAAAGGGUGCGUAGGCGGAAUGCAAAGUCAGCGGGAAAAGCGCGGGGCUCAACCUCGCUCCGCCGUUGAAACUGGCGUGCUGGAGUGGGCGAGAGGUAUGUGGAAUGCGUGGUGUAGCGGUGAAAUGCAUAGAUAUCACGCAGAACUCCGAUUGCGAAGGCAGCAUACCGGAGCCCAACUGACGCUGAGGCACGAAAGCGUGGGGAGCGAACAGGAUUAGAUACCCUUGUAGUC
This 460-nucleotide ribosomal RNA is filed under the name uncultured bacterium. RNAcentral describes it as "partial 16S ribosomal RNA". It matches the Rfam family "Bacterial small subunit ribosomal RNA", at positions 338 to 795 of the family's 1533-position model. The record is from RNAcentral.